Long non-coding RNA from Frieseomelitta varia, 1678 nucleotides. RefSeq lists it as uncharacterized. Lineage: Eukaryota; Metazoa; Arthropoda; Insecta; Hymenoptera; Apidae. The transcript is spliced from 3 exons. The record is from RefSeq and is a predicted model, not a curated record.
UCUAUAAGGUUCACGAGUCACUUUAUGCACACAAAGUGUGAAACGAAGGAAAAGUCGAAUCUCUGUUGUAUCGUCGAUGACUAUCGUUCGUGAAACUCAUCCAUCAACUUCCGUCUCAUUUUUUUUCUUUUUUUUUUUGUAGACGACAAAGGAGACACGAGACUUCAGGCGAUUAAAAAAAAAAGGCAAGAGAUGCAUCGUCGCUGAUCGCGAUCCUUGCAUGGAAAAUCUCGGCAGUACGAUCGAGAUACCGUGAAAUGUUCGUGCAAACAUUCGUAAUCCGUGAAAUAUCACGGCCGUUCUAAAACGAGCCACGCGUGGCGGCUGUUUGCAUCUAGAUUAUGUAUUCAUGGGAUUAUAGGAGCAUAGAGAGGGGUAACCGUGUCCUGCAACAACCCCUUCAUCGAUCAGAGAAAUCAUACCAGCGAAAGCUAUCGGCUGAAACGAACUAUCGUUGCAUCGAAAACAGUCUUUUUUUUUUUUUUUGUCUCGAGUGAAUAUAAAUUGAAAUGAGACAGGAAGAACUUCCAAAUUCUAUAUUUGUACAUUUUCUAUUGAACGUUGUACACGUUCACGCGUUUGUGAGAAAUUUACAGAUGUAUAAUAUAAUAUUUUUUGACAGACACUGUUACACAUAGCAUCUGUUUCAAACUCCAAUAAUUGUCUGACUUCAAUUAAGUGUUGAGCAUACCAAUCGUUUGCAUUGCGACAACGAAUUCAAUUCGUACCAACUGUUUGCACAAUGAUCAAUUGACUCAAUUUAAAAUAGUAUCUUUUAUAAUAUUUAACAGGUCGAAUUCAAUUCGUACCAACUGUUUGCACCAAUGAUCAAUUCACUCAAUACAUUUAAAAUAGUAUCUUUUAUAAUAUUUAACAGGUCGAAUUCAAUUCGUACCAACUGUUUGCACCAAUGAUCAAUUGACUCAAUACAUUUAAAAUAGUAUCUUUUAUAAUAUUUAACAGGCCGAACAAGUUUCUAUCCAGAUUUCACUUCUUUAAUUCCUUAUGAAAAAAGAUAAAACUGCAUGAAUAUUCGCAAAUCCAAGUAUUUCAAUGCUUCAGAGUGCUUCGAAAGAUCAAAUUUAAUAGAAUUCCUUGAUUUCAAGCUUCAAUCCAAACGAGCAUGUAUGCUUGAAAAUCAAUUUUAACAUGAUAUAAAUGACAUCCUUCGAUGUCCUCUCCCUUAGUGAAGUGAUGUCACUGAGAUGUUGUGCGAAUAUGAAUUCAGUAGGAAUUUCCACGCUUCGUUCUUUACUAAAUUGCCUUUGUUCUUAGGUAAUGUGCACUAAUGUUGCGACGGUGAGUCAGGUGCACUGUCCGACAGACAGAAGACGACGAGGACGAGGAAUCCUCCCACGUGAAAGGAAGACCGGCCUGUUCUUGUUGUGACGGAGAUAAGUUAAGCCCUCUUCUUGUCGCCACCUCGAGCGUCGAAAAUGCUGUUUUCUCACAAAACGCCGGCAACAAUACCAUCAAAGACGACGUGAACGACGUGGACGACAGGGCUGGCCCCGAGUAAGCGGAUUAUCCCUAACUGUAGAAAGCGAUACUCAAACACACCUACGCUCGGCGAUCGAUGAUUCGUGUAUACAUCGGCAUCCGCGUCUUUUAUUGUCAUCGAUCUUCAAAGCCGUUCCUCCUCUCUUUUCUUUUCCUUCAGAUGGAAAGAGCAACGUCU